This 253-nucleotide ribosomal RNA is filed under the name uncultured bacterium. Its description in RNAcentral is "partial 16S ribosomal RNA". It matches the Rfam family "Bacterial small subunit ribosomal RNA", at positions 524 to 776 of the family's 1533-position model. The record is from RNAcentral.
UACAGAGGUGGCAAGCGUUGUUCGGAAUUACUGGGCGUAAAGCGUGCGCAGGCGGUUAUGCAAGACAGAUGUGAAAUCCCCGGGCUCAACCUGGGAACUGCAUUUGUGACUGCAUAGCUAGAGUGCGGCAGAGGGAGAUGGAAUUCCGCGUGUAGCAGUGAAAUGCGUAGAUAUGCGGAGGAACACCGAUGGCGAAGGCAAUCUCCUGGGCCUGCACUGACGCUCAUGCACGAAAGCGUGGGGAGCAAACAGG